RNAcentral lists this ribosomal RNA (440 nucleotides) under uncultured bacterium. RNAcentral describes it as "partial 16S ribosomal RNA". It matches the Rfam family "Bacterial small subunit ribosomal RNA", at positions 338 to 795 of the family's 1533-position model. The record is from RNAcentral.
CCUACGGGAGGCUGCAGUGGGGAAUAUUGCACAAUGGGGGAAACCCUGAUGCAGCGACGCCGCGUGAAUGAUGAAGUAUUUCGGUAUGUAAAGCUCUAUCAGCAGGGAAGAAAAUGACGGUACCUGACUAUGAAUCCCCGGCUAACAUCGUGCCAGCAGCCGCGGUAAUACGGAGGCGGCCAGCGUUAGCCGGAUUUACUGGGUGUAAAGGGAGCGUAGACGGCUAAUCAAGUCAGUAGUGAAAGCUCAGGGCUCAACUUUGGGACUGCUUUUGAUACUGGGUAGCUGGAGUGCAGGUGAGGUAGGCGGAAUUCGUGGUGUAGCGGUGAAAUGCGUAGAUAUUAGGAGGAACACCAGUGGCGAAGGCGGCUUACUAGACUGUAACUGACGUUGAGGCUCGAAAGCGUGGGGAGCAAACAGGAUUAGAUACCCCUGUAGUC